This 73-nucleotide transfer RNA is filed under the name Stegodyphus dumicola. RNAcentral describes it as "tRNA-Met". Lineage: Eukaryota; Metazoa; Arthropoda; Arachnida; Araneae; Eresidae. The record is from RNAcentral.
GCCUUCGUGGUGUAGUGGUCAGCACACUCGAUGCAUAUUCGAGAGGUCCCUAGUUUGAGUCCCGGCGAGGGCA